GAUGAACGCUGGCGGCGUGCCUAAUACAUGCAAGUCGAGCGAACAGAUGAGGAGCUUGCUCCUCUGACGUUAGCGGCGGACGGGUGAGUAACACGUGGAUAACCUACCUAUAAGACUGGGAUAACUUCGGGAAACCGGAGCUAAUACCGGAUAAUAUAUUGAACCGCAUGGUUCAAUAGUGAAAGACGGUUUUGCUGUCACUUAUAGAUGGAUCCGCGCCGCAUUAGGUAGUUGGUAAGGUAACGGCUUACCAAGGAAACGAUGCGUAGCCGACCUGAGAGGGUGAUCGGCCACACUGGAACUGAGACACGGUCCAGACUCCUACGGGAGGCAGCAGUGGGGAAUCUUCCGCAAUGGGCGAAAGCCUGACGGAGCAACGCCGCGUGAGUGAUGAAGGUCUUCGGAUCGUAAAACUCUGUUAUUAGGGAAGAACAAAUGUGUAAGUAACUAUGCACGUCUUGACGGUACCUAAUCAGAAAGCCACGGCUAACUACGUG
This 497-nucleotide ribosomal RNA is filed under the name uncultured bacterium. RNAcentral describes it as "partial 16S ribosomal RNA". It matches the Rfam family "Bacterial small subunit ribosomal RNA", at positions 28 to 507 of the family's 1533-position model. The record is from RNAcentral.